AACUUAUAGAUCGGACAACGUCCUUAAAAUCCUAAUAGCUUAUCGGCCUAACAAUCAAAAUCAUGACCAUAUUUUGGAUCUUUAUUUUAUUAACCCCUUAGAAUUAGAGUUUUUACACCACCUGAAUAAACUAGCCUAAAUGAGAGCAUUUUUAAUAAGUAACCGUGUUCUAAAAAUUUAUGCAAAAAAAAGCUUAUUAUAUAAAUCAUAAUAAGCUUUUUUAUUUUUGAA
Molecule: unclassified non-coding RNA, 231 nt
Filed under: Moritella viscosa
Lineage: Bacteria; Pseudomonadati; Pseudomonadota; Gammaproteobacteria; Alteromonadales; Moritellaceae
Description: putative sRNA
Source: RNAcentral